RNAcentral lists this transfer RNA (89 nucleotides) under Deltaproteobacteria bacterium. RNAcentral describes it as "tRNA-Ser". It matches the Rfam family "tRNA". From Rfam's summary of the family: Transfer RNA (tRNA) molecules are approximately 80 nucleotides in length. RNAcentral also lists the same sequence under 1 other name. The record is from RNAcentral. Lineage: Bacteria; Pseudomonadati; Myxococcota; Myxococcia.
GGAGAGGUGGCCGAGUUGGUUGAAGGCGCCUGACUCGAAAUCAGGUGUACGGCAAACCCGUACCGGGGGUUCGAAUCCCUCCCUCUCCG